Molecule: non-coding RNA, 100 nt
Filed under: Caballeronia telluris
Lineage: Bacteria; Pseudomonadati; Pseudomonadota; Betaproteobacteria; Burkholderiales; Burkholderiaceae
Description: Burkholderia telluris Glycine sequence
Rfam family: Glycine riboswitch aptamer
About the family: This family represents the bacterial glycine riboswitch. Glycine riboswitches usually consist of two metabolite-binding aptamers domains with similar structures in tandem.
Source: Rfam by way of RNAcentral
CCGCACGCGUCGGGAGAGCGCGUGGCCGCUGGUUUUGCGCGCCGCGCCGCCGAAGGGGCAAACCCGCAAACUCUCAGGCAAAAGGACCGGCCGCGUCGAA